This 184-nucleotide ribosomal RNA is filed under the name uncultured bacterium. RNAcentral's name for it is "partial 16S ribosomal RNA". It matches the Rfam family "Bacterial small subunit ribosomal RNA", at positions 1316 to 1500 of the family's 1533-position model. The record is from RNAcentral.
UCGCAUGAAGUCGGAAUUGCUAGUAAUCGCGGAUCAGCAUGCCGCGGUGAAUACGUUCCCGGGCCUUGUACACACCGCCCGUCACACCAUGGGAGCCGGUAAUACCCGAAGUCAGUAGUCCAACCUCGUGAGGACGCUGCCGAAGGUAGGAUUGGCGACUGGGGUGAAGUCGUAACAAGGUAAC